GACGAACGCUUGCGGCGUGCCUAAGAAAUGCAAGUCGAACGGAUAUUCCAGCAAUGGGAUGUUAGUGGCGAACGGUCGCGUAACACGUAAGCAACCUGCCUUGAAGUUGGGGAUAACAGUCCGAAAGGUCUGCUAAUACCGGAUGUGGUCCACUGGUGGCAUCAUUAGUGGUCUAAAGAUUUAUCGCUUCAAGAUGGGCUUGCGGCCUAUCAGGUAGUUGGUGGGGUAAUGGCCUACCAAGCCGACGACGGGUAGCUGGUCUGAGAGGACGAUCAGCCGGAUUGGGACUGAGAUACGGCCCAGACUCCUACGGGGGGCAGCAAUUAGGAAUCUUGCACAAUGGGGGAAACCCUGAUGCAGCGACGCCGCGUGAAGGAUGAAGGGUUUCGGCCUGUAAACUUCUUUUGACAGGGAAGAAAAAAAUGACGGUACCUGUCGAAUAAGCCCCGGCUAACUACGUGCCAGCAGCCGCGGUAAUACGUAGGGGGCGAGCGUUGUCCGAAUUUACUGGGCGUAAAGCGCGCGUAGGCGGUUUCUUAAGUCUGGGGUGAAAGGUUCAACGCUCAACGUGAACAGUGCCUUGGAUACUGGGAGACUUGAGUCUGGGAGGGGGUAGUGGAAUUCCUGGUGUAGCGGUGAAA
Molecule: ribosomal RNA, 641 nt
Filed under: uncultured bacterium
Lineage: Bacteria
Description: bacterial SSU rRNA
Rfam family: Bacterial small subunit ribosomal RNA
Source: RNAcentral